This 75-nucleotide transfer RNA is filed under the name Streptococcus downei. RNAcentral describes it as "tRNA-Val(tac)". It matches the Rfam family "tRNA". Rfam says of the family: Transfer RNA (tRNA) molecules are approximately 80 nucleotides in length. Their secondary structure includes four short double-helical elements and three loops (D, anti-codon, and T loops). Further hydrogen bonds mediate the characteristic L-shaped molecular structure. tRNAs have two regions of fundamental functional importance: the anti-codon, which is responsible for specific mRNA codon recognition, and the 3' end, to which the tRNAs corresponding amino acid is attached (by aminoacyl-tRNA synthetases). tRNAs cope with the degeneracy of the genetic code in two manners: having more than one tRNA (with a specific anti-codon) for a particular amino acid; and 'wobble' base-pairing, i.e. permitting non-standard base-pairing at the 3rd anti-codon position. RNAcentral also lists the same sequence under 4 other names. Lineage: Bacteria; Bacillati; Bacillota; Bacilli; Lactobacillales; Streptococcaceae. The record is from RNAcentral.
UGGGAGUUUAGCUCAGCUGGGAGAGCAUCUGCCUUACAAGCAGAGGGUCAGCGGUUCGAACCCGUUAACUCCCAU